UACAGAGGUGCCAAGCGUUAGGCGGAAUCACUGGGCUUAAAGCGUGUGUAGGCGGAAUGGUAAGUACCUUGUGAAAUCCCACGGCUCAACCGUGGAACUGCUUGGUAUACUGCUUUUCUUGAGCCACUUAGGGGCUGUCGGAACAAACGGUGGAGCGGUGAAAUGCGUAGAUAUCUGGAGGAACACCGGUGGCGAAGGCGGCAUCCUGGACCAAUAUUGACGCUGAGGAGCGAAAGCCAGGGGAGCAAACGGG
This 253-nucleotide ribosomal RNA is filed under the name uncultured bacterium. RNAcentral describes it as "partial 16S ribosomal RNA". It matches the Rfam family "Bacterial small subunit ribosomal RNA", at positions 524 to 776 of the family's 1533-position model. The record is from RNAcentral.